AUUGAACGCCGGCGGCAUGCCUUACACAUGCAAGUCGAACGGUAACAGGUUAAGCUGACGAGUGGCGAACGGGUGAGUAAUGUAUCGGAACGUGCCCAGUCGUGGGGGAUAACUACUUGAAAGAGUGGCUAAUACCGCAUACGACCUGAGGGUGAAAGCGGGGGAUCGCAAGACCUCGCGCGAUUGGAGCGGCCGAUAUCAGAUUAGCUAGUUGGCGAGGUAAAGGCUCACCAAGGCGACGAUCUGUAGCUGGUCUGAGAGGACGACCAGCCACACUGGGACUGAGACACGGCCCAGACUCCUACGGGAGGCAGCAGUGGGGAAUUUUGGACAAUGGGCGCAAGCCUGAUCCAGCCAUGCCGCGUGUGGGAAGAAGGCCUUCGGGUUGUAAACCACUUUUGUCGGGGAAGAAACGGUUUGGGCUAAUACCCUGAGCUAAUGACGGUACCCGAAGAAUAAGCACCGGCUAACUACGUGCCAGCAGCCGCAGUAA
This 493-nucleotide ribosomal RNA is filed under the name uncultured bacterium. Its description in RNAcentral is "partial 16S ribosomal RNA". It matches the Rfam family "Bacterial small subunit ribosomal RNA", at positions 30 to 523 of the family's 1533-position model. The record is from RNAcentral.